Molecule: non-coding RNA, 89 nt
Organism: Cadophora malorum
Lineage: Eukaryota; Fungi; Ascomycota; Leotiomycetes; Helotiales; Ploettnerulaceae
Source: the annotation of a GenBank genome assembly
GUUGCUUGGUGUAAUGGUUAGCACAUCAGAUUCUGACAAUGAACUUGGAAGCUUCUGGGGAUAUUGGUUCGAUUCCUAUAGCGAGGACA